GACGAACGCUGGCGGCGUGCCUAAUACAUGCAAGUAGAACGCACAGUUUAUACCGUAGCUUGCUACACCAUAAACUGUGAGUUGCGAACGGGUGAGUAACGCGUAGGUAACCUGCCUGGUAGCGGGGGAUAACUAUUGGAAACGAUAGCUAAUACCGCAUAAUAUUGAUUAUUGCAUGAUAAUUGAUUGAAAGAUGCUAUUGCAUCACUACCAGAUGGACCUGCGUUGUAUUAGCUAGUAGGUGAGGUAACGGCUCACCUAGGCGACGAUACAUAGCCGACCUGAGAGGGUGAUCGGCCACACUGGGACUGAGACACGGCCCAGACUCCUACGGGAGGCAGUAGUAGGGAAUCUUCGGCAAUGGACGAAAGUCUGACCGAGCAACGCCGCGUGAGUGAAGAAGGUUUUCGGAUCGUAAAGCUCUGUUGUAAGAGAAGAACGGGUGUGAGAGUGGAAAGUUCACACUGUGACGGUAUCUUACCAGAAAGGGACGGCUAACUACGUG
RNAcentral lists this ribosomal RNA (505 nucleotides) under uncultured bacterium. RNAcentral's name for it is "partial 16S ribosomal RNA". It matches the Rfam family "Bacterial small subunit ribosomal RNA", at positions 28 to 507 of the family's 1533-position model. The record is from RNAcentral.